This 3803-nucleotide long non-coding RNA is filed under the name Brachypodium distachyon (stiff brome). RNAcentral's name for it is "long non-coding RNA (BDIS_LNC003974)". Lineage: Eukaryota; Viridiplantae; Streptophyta; Magnoliopsida; Poales; Poaceae. The record is from RNAcentral.
CUCGUUCCCCCUAUCGCGGAAACUGAGCUCGCCAUGCGUCCGCUUUCCCGAUUUCGUGGCAGCGAUUCUGGUGCGCUUGGUGUCGGCGAGGCGCAGCGGAACAUCAGUGCGGUCGCCGCCUGUGCGGGGAGGGGCAGAGUCGGCGUCGACGCUGCGAGGGGUUUGCUGAUUUCGCCACGGCACGAGAUUUUACCGGCGAGCCGAUAGGGCGCGGGGACCCCUGCAUGUCUUCGGAGGAGGUGGUGAGGGCUACAGGAAGGCGAUUCAUCGCUGAAAUCCAGAGCGCUGCUGCCUGUAAUGUUCAUGGCGGGCACAUCGACUACCGGGCGCGGGCGCAUGGAGAACGAGGGGUCGCAUCGGCCACGGCGGCGAGCGCAUCUAGCACGUCAUGCGCAGCUACCAUCUACUAUUGCGAAUUUUUAAGGGUUAGUUUUCCUCUCGUCCAUAUCUGUUCGUCCUUGAUUUCCUUCCCACCCCUACUACCUGAGCACGUAGUUUUUGUGGGCAUCAAUGUUGCAUAGCUUUCUAACGUAGUAACCAUCCUGGUACUAAGCAUCGCUUAUACUUGGAUCUGUUGGAAGCAUUUUGUGCUAGCAAUUUUUUGGUCGAUUUUUCGUGUUCUAGGUUUAGUCUGCUGUUAUGCACGCAGUACAUGUUUCCACCAGUUUAGAUGCCUUACGUUACUGUGUGAUUAGAAUAAUUUGGCCCAGAAAAUGCAUCGGGGGCAUAGCGUUUUUGAACCAGACAAGGUUUUCAGGCAAGGUUAGCAAGUGUUCUAGCUAGGGGACAGCUUGUAAAUCAAAUUAACAGAAUCAAAUCAACUGAACCAAAUUGGGGACGACUUGGGCCAUGCAUUUUUCUGCCUAAAUCCUAGCUUUACUGUUUUUGCUGUGCUUAUUUCUUAGGUGAAGUUUUAGUGUGUCCUUUUUAGUUGUGACGUUUUACAGUUUCACAAGGUGCCAUCAGCCAAUCAAAUUGCGCUGCAUUAGGCAAAUCAUAUAUCCAUCAUAUUUUGGAGUUGCUUUUAGAAUAAGUACUCAAUUCCAUUUAGGCAAAUUGAACAGAAUAAUAAGUUCCUAAUAAGCUGCUUUUGUAGCAUUCAAAGGGUCCAGUGGGUGUUGAUUUGUUUUUCUUAGGAAUUGCUUUUCCCUGAUUUGGAGAUGGACUUUGAGAUAGGUGUGAGUGCCUUAGGUUACUGUGUUUAGGCAAACUUCCAAAGUUGCUUUAAUUCUCUAUGCAUUGUCUUAUUCACUAAUUAACAUAACCUAUAACUAUAAGUUGUUUUUCUUAGGGUACGAGUUGAUUUUUUUAGGGAGUUUUUGAGAUGUGUCGGAGCACGGUCUCCGGCACCGGGGAUGCUAAGAACCCCCUUUUUGGUUCGGUGGAGGGCGAGAUGAUUGCUCCGACGAUCGCCGGCAUGGCGAUAGGCACGAAAAGUAAACGCGAGAGUUUUUACCCAGGUUUAGGCCACUCGGAGGUGUAACACCCUACGUCCUACUCUUUGUUAUAUUCACAAGCUUAAGAGUGUACAGAUUGCCCGGGGGGGGGGGGGGGGGGGUUCCCGGGCUGGCUACUUGGGUGGAUGCUGUGAUAUGUUCCAAUUACUUGGGUCGGAACCCUUUUUCCGGCGGCAUUGGUCCUCCUUUUAUAUGCAAGGGGAUACCACAGGUGCCACGGUGUGCAGCGUGACACGUUAGUUAGACGCGUGUCACGCCCGCACGAAAUACAGAUUUGUUCAUCCACGCUGGACGCCAUGCAGCGCCCGUCCUACUGUAUACGAUAGAAAAAGUAGCUCUUAGGGAGAUCGCUCUAGCCUUGCCAAACAAGGCUAGGCCUGCUGAUAAGACUCCCGUCGGUGCAUUAAAUGCACUGCGCCCGCAGUCUGGUCCUGUCUUCACUGUUCCGCGGGUCCCGCCUGCUUGCCCGAGCGCGGGUUGCCGGGGUGCACCUUCCCGGAUAGCGCAUCUGCUAGUUGCCGGGAGGCGCUGCCAUGACUUCCUGGGGUCGGGGUCCCUGGGAGCACUCCGUACUUGGCUCCUAGUUUUGUCUUCACUGGGGCCGUCCCCUCGAGGUAGGCUUCCCGGGUUCGUUACUUCCCAUCAAAGGCGACCCACACGUCCAGUAUCAGUGGGACCCCGUGGGCCACUUGUACAACAAGAUGCAAUAUUGAUUUUAGGAAAACUUGUACCGUAUGUGCUAGUCAGUUUGUUUGGAGCAGAAUUUGUAUUAGAGCUGUUUUCCUAGCUCAGGCAUAAAAUGUGCUGAAUUAGAAGUAGAAUUAUUUUUUCUGGACAAUUUGACUUUUGUUUUUAGUUUUAAAAAAAUUGACAACAAGUUGUAUUCUCAAUAUGUGCAUCUCAGUAUGUGCUUGACUAAUUUAUUUUCAACCGUCUUGCUUUAACUAAAGGACAAUAAAAAUUCGCUUGUAUUGACCAACAUUAUAAGUGGAUUCAUUUUUCUGAGUCUAGUAGUUGAUUUUUUUCCAAUAAUGUAAAGCAUCCUUUCUUUUUGCAGGGAGCUAUAAUGAACACAAUUGAGGAAGACGACGCACCCAAAGAUGCUGAAGCUGGAGAUUAAUUCCUCAUCGCAGGAGACGCAAUGUAAAAGAUGGCCAACUUUCAGUUGCAGGACCCGGGGGAGGCAAUGCAGGUGGUGUUGACAACAUGCUUCAUGUCUUUUUCAUUUCAGUAAUUCUUAACCUGCUGUAUGCCCAGGUUGUUGAUGGAAUUACUGUCGCACAGGCUCUCAAUAAGAUAACUGGUGUGGAGCCUGCCAUAGAUAAGACGGGAAGGCUCCCAAGGUUUUUAUCUAGACGAAGUUGCUUUGACCAAACAAUACUACAUUAUUAAUAGACUGAAAGUUGUUGUACAUAACUGAAAGUUGUUGUACAUAAUAGAGAAGUCGCUUUUUAAAAUAGUUAAUGCACAGAAUAUAAAAUUUGCUAUAGAGAAUAGAGAAUUUGCUUUUCCAAAUUUGCAUUUUCUAUUCAGAAUAGAGAAGUCACUUUUUAAAAUAGUUGCCGUAGAGAAUAGAAAAUUUCCUAUAGAGAAUAGAGAAUUUGCUUUUCCAAAUUUGUUUUUUCUGUACAUAAUAGAGAAGUCGAUUUUUAAAAUAGCUGCUGUAGAGAAUAGAAAAUUUGCCUUUUCCUAUUUGCUUUUUCUGUACAGAAUACAAAAGUCGCUUUUUAAAAUAGUUGCCGUAGAGAAUAGAAAAUUUUGCUUUAGAGAAUAGAGAAUUUGCUUUUCCAAAUUUGCUGUAGGAUCUACUUGUUGCCGUACCCCUUAUUUGCUUUGGCAAUUCUUUCUUGCAAAUUAUAACUCAUUUUUCUUUCCUAUUAUACAGGUGGUUUCAGCAGGUGGAUAUGGGAACAGAUGCAGAUGAUAGGUUUAAGGAAAAGCAACAAAUAAGAUGUGUACAUAGCUAUGGAUGAUGGGAAUCAAAUAGCUAUCAAAGCGCCGAUAACAAGAGGGGGAAGCAACAUUUAAAUGCACCAACCAGCAUGUGGGCUUCAUCAUGUCUAACCUAUGUCUUCUGUGUUUUUGUUGAAACAACACACAACUUAUGAAGGUGCAGGGGUUUUACUGAAUUUGCUGACCAAAUAGGUGCAGGGGGUGGGCGUGUCAUGGGGGAUUUGUUGCUCUACUGAAUAACUCUAAAAACUUAAAGCCGGAGAGUUAUUCGCUCCCUCAGCGCUCCACAUCCGCGAUCCGGGCGGGUUGUUGGCGAGCGGUCGAUGCGUGUCUUCCGAUUCGUGCGAGCUGUCUCUUCGGAGCUUUCCAAAAUAUGUGCGCUGUCAGCUCAAG